CCAUGGCAAGUUCUCCCAGCACUGGAAGACAGUGGUCUGAUUCUGUCUGAAAGCAAGAGCAAGAAUCAAGAGAGCAGACACAAUCCUCUAAAAUCCUUUUUGGCAUCAGCUGCCAUGUCGGCUAAGUGAUAUUAGUGCCCACUCCUGCAAGCUGUCAAUAUUUCCUAGUAACAGCACCCGGCACUUUGCUAACCAUCAGCUGUAGAGCAUCCUGGCCAACCUGGAAGCAAAGACUCCAAUGUCACUGAGCCUAUGAGUGCCUGGAAUGAGAAACUGAUCUUAAUCAGAGGGACCCCAAUACAUUUUCCUUC
Molecule: long non-coding RNA, 311 nt
Filed under: Gallus gallus (chicken)
Lineage: Eukaryota; Metazoa; Chordata; Aves; Galliformes; Phasianidae
Description: long non-coding RNA NONGGAT001551
Source: RNAcentral